This 479-nucleotide ribosomal RNA is filed under the name uncultured bacterium. RNAcentral's name for it is "partial 16S ribosomal RNA". It matches the Rfam family "Bacterial small subunit ribosomal RNA", at positions 28 to 507 of the family's 1533-position model. The record is from RNAcentral.
GAUGAACGCUGGCGGCGUGCUUAACACAUGCAAGUCGAGCGAGAAGUUUUGAAAAGAUUCUUCGGAUGAAAUUUAAAAUGGAAAGCGGCGGACGGGUGAGUAACGCGUAGGCAACCUGCCCCAUACAAAGGGAUAGCAUUUGGAAACGAAUAUUAAUACCUUAUGAAACUUAACUAGUGCAUGCUAGGUAGGUCAAAGAUUUAUCGGUAUGGGAUGGGCCUGCGUCUGAUUAGCUAGUGGGUGAGGUAACGGCUCACCAAGGCGACGAUCAGUAGCCGACCUGAGAGGGUGAACGGCCACAUUGGAACUGAGACACGGUCCAAACUCCUACGGGAGGCAGCAGUGGAGAAUAUUGCACAAUGGGGGAAACCCUGAUGCAGCAACGCCGCGUGAACGAUGAAGGCCUUUGGGUCGUAAAGUUCUGUUCUAGGUGAUGAAAACUGACAGUAACCUAGGAGAAAGCCCCGGCUAACUCCGUG